This 402-nucleotide small RNA is filed under the name Pongo abelii (Sumatran orangutan). Its description in RNAcentral is "retained intron". Lineage: Eukaryota; Metazoa; Chordata; Mammalia; Primates; Hominidae. The record is from RNAcentral.
CUCAGCACAACAAAUCAGGAGCUGCGGCAGCUCUUCUACCAGUGGAAGUGCAAGAAGUUCCGGGAUCAGCUGUCCCCGAAGCAGGUAGAGAUCCUGAGGGAAAAGCUCUGUGCCAGUGAACUGUUCAAGGGCAAGAAGGCUUCAUAUCCCCAGAGGUGAGGGCCUCCCAGACCCUGCACAGCCAGUUCCAUCAAGCAGCAGUUCUCAAACUUGAGCGUGCCUUAGAAUCACCUGGCAGGAUUGUUACCCCCAGGUGCUGUGUCCCUCCUCAGAGUCUCUGAUCCAGCAGGUCUUGGGGUGGGGACCAAAAUUUGCCUUUCUAACAACUCCCCAGGUGGUGCUGGUGUCUUGGUCCUGGACUGUGCUCUGUGGACACUGACAGAGGAUACGUGGACGUGGGGG